This 1341-nucleotide ribosomal RNA is filed under the name uncultured bacterium. Its description in RNAcentral is "16S ribosomal RNA". It matches the Rfam family "Bacterial small subunit ribosomal RNA", at positions 28 to 1381 of the family's 1533-position model. The record is from RNAcentral.
GACGAACGCUGGCGGCGUGCUUAACACAUGCAAGUCGAACGGUAAGGCUCCAGCUUGCUGGGGUACACGAGUGGCGAACGGGUGAGUAACACGUGGGUGACCUGCCCUGCACUUCGGGAUAAGCCUGGGAAACUGGGUCUAAUACCGGAUAGGACCGCACCGUGAGGGUGUGGUGGAAAGUUUUUUCGGUGUGGGAUGGGCCCGCGGCCUAUCAGCUUGUUGGUGGGGUAAUGGCCUACCAAGGCGGCGACGGGUAGCCGGCCUGAGAGGGUGGACGGCCACAUUGGGACUGAGACACGGCCCAGACUCCUACGGGAGGCAGCAGUGGGGAAUAUUGCACAAUGGGCGGAAGCCUGAUGCAGCGACGCCGCGUGGGGGAUGACGGCCUUCGGGUUGUAAACUCCUUUCACCAUCGACGAAGGGUUUCUGACGGUAGAUGGAGAAGAAGCACCGGCUAACUACGUGCCAGCAGCCGCGGUAAUACGUAGGGUGCGAGCGUUGUCCGGAAUUACUGGGUGUAAAGAGCUCGUAGGUGGUUUGUCGCGUCGUCUGUGAAAUUCCGGGGCUUAACUCCGGGCGUGCAGGCGAUACGGGCAUAACUUGAGUACUGUAGGGGAGACUGGAAUUCCUGGUGUAGCGGUGAAAUGCGCAGAUAUCAGGAGGAACACCGGUGGCGAAGGCGGGUCUCUGGGCAGUAACUGACGCUGAGGAGCGAAAGCAUGGGGAGCGAACAGGAUUAGAUACCCUGGUAGUCCAUGCCGUAAACGGUGGGCGCUAGGUGUGGGUUUCCUUCCACGGGAUCCGUGCCGUAGCUAACGCAUUAAGCGCCCCGCCUGGGGAGUACGGCCGCAAGGCUAAAACUCAAAGGAAUUGACGGGGGCCCGCACAAGCGGCGGAGCAUGUGGAUUAAUUCGAUGCAACGCGAAGAACCUUACCUGGGCUUGACAUAUACAGGAUCGCGCCAGAGAUGGUGUUUCCCUUGUGGCUUGUAUACAGGUGGUGCAUGGUUGUCGUCAGCUCGUGUCGUGAGAUGUUGGGUUAAGUCCCGCGACGAGCGCAACCCUUGUCUUAUGUUGCCAGCACGUUGUGGUGGGGACUCGUAAGAAACUGCCGGGGUUAACUCGGAGGAAGGUGGGGAUGACGUCAAAUCAUCAUGCCCCUUAUGUCCAGGGCUUCACACAUGCUACAAUGGUCGGUACAGUGGGUUGCCAGUCCGUGAGGGCGAGCUAAUCCCGCAAAGCCGGUCUCAGUUCGGAUCGGGGUCUGCAACUCGACCCCGUGAAGUCGGAGUCGCUAGUAAUCGCAGAUCAGCAACGCUGCGGUGAAUACGUUCCCGGGCCU